ACACAUGCAAGUCGAACGGCAGAACAGUAAGAGCUUGCUCUUAUGGGUGGCGAGUGGCGGACGGGUGAGGAAUACAUCGGAAUCUACUCUUUCGUGGGGGAUAACGUAGGGAAACUUACGCUAAUACCGCAUACGACCUACGGGUGAAAGCGGAGGACCUUCGGGCUUCGCGCGAUUGAAUGAGCCGAUGUCGGAUUAGCUAGUUGGCGGGGUAAAGGCCCACCAAGGCGACGAUCCGUAGCUGGUCUGAGAGGAUGAUCAGCCACACUGGAACUGAGACACGGUCCAGACUCCUACGGGAGGCAGCAGUGGGGAAUAUUGGACAAUGGGCGCAAGCCUGAUCCAGCCAUGCCGCGUGGGUGAAGAAGGCCUUCGGGUUGUAAAGCCCUUUUGUUGGGAAAGAAAAAGCAGUCGGUUAAUACCCGAUUGUUCUGACGGUACCCAAAGAAUAAGCACCGGCUAACUUCGUGCCAGCAGCCGCGGUAAUACGAAGGGUGCAAGCGUUACUCGGAAUUACUGGGCGUAAAGCGUGCGUAGGUGGUGGUUUAAGUCUGUUGUGAAAGCCCUGGGCUCAACCUGGGAA
This 583-nucleotide ribosomal RNA is filed under the name Xanthomonas sp. RNAcentral describes it as "bacterial SSU rRNA". It matches the Rfam family "Bacterial small subunit ribosomal RNA", at positions 51 to 620 of the family's 1533-position model. Lineage: Bacteria; Pseudomonadati; Pseudomonadota; Gammaproteobacteria; Lysobacterales; Lysobacteraceae. The record is from RNAcentral.